GUCCUCGCUGUAGCAGCACAUGUACUAAAACUGGAAUGAUACAGGGAAGAUCAGCCUGGCCCCACGCAAGGAUGACACGCAAAUUCGUGAAGCGUUCCAGAUUUUU
Small nuclear RNA from Sorex fumeus (smoky shrew), 106 nucleotides. The record is from RefSeq and is a predicted model, not a curated record. NCBI's taxonomy places the organism in Eukaryota, Metazoa, Chordata, Mammalia, Eulipotyphla, Soricidae.